Molecule: ribosomal RNA, 671 nt
Filed under: uncultured cyanobacterium
Lineage: Bacteria; Bacillati; Cyanobacteriota
Description: bacterial SSU rRNA
Rfam family: Bacterial small subunit ribosomal RNA
Source: RNAcentral
AAUUCGCCCUUGGGGAAUUUUCCGCAAUGGGCGAAAGCCUGACGGAGCAAUACCGCGCGAGGGACGAAGGUCUGUGGAUUGUAAACCUCUUUUGUUAGGGAAGAUAAUGACGGUACCUAACGAAUAAGCAUCGGCUAACUCCGUGCCAGCAGCCGCGGUAAGACGGAGGAUGCAAGCGUUAUCCGGAAUUAUUGGGCGUAAAGCGUACGUAGGCUGUUAGAUAAGUCUGUUGUCAAAGCGCGAGGCUCAACCUUGUAAAGGCAAUGGAAACUGUUUGACUAGAGAGAGAUAGGGGCAGGAGGAAUUCCAGGUGUAGCGGUGAAAUGCGUAGAUAUCUGGAAGAACACCAGUGGCGAAAGCGUCCUGCUGGAUCUCAACUGACGCUGAAGUACGAAAGCUAGGGGAGCGAAUGGGAUUAGAUACCCCAGUAGUCCUAGCCGUAAACGAUGGGUACUAGGUGUUGGUCAUAUCGACCCGAUCAGUGCCGUAGCUAACGCGUUAAGUACCCCGCCUGGGGAGUACGGUCGCAAGAUUGAAACUCAAAGGAAUUGACGGGGGCCCGCACAAGCGGUGGAGUAUGUGGUUUAAUUCGAUGCAACGCGAAGAACCUUACCAAGGCUUGACAUGUCGUGAAUCCUUUUGAAAGAGAGGAGUGCCUUCGGGAGCACGAA